RNAcentral lists this long non-coding RNA (353 nucleotides) under Trifolium pratense (red clover). Its description in RNAcentral is "long non-coding RNA (TPRA_LNC003727)". The record is from RNAcentral. Lineage: Eukaryota; Viridiplantae; Streptophyta; Magnoliopsida; Fabales; Fabaceae.
UUACAUCAAACAGCCGUCAGCCAGCCAUGCUCUAUCAGUUUUUUUUUUCCUCUAUUGCUAGACAAGCUUACGAACAUUAAACCGACUAAACAAGGCAUAAAAAUCACUUGAUUCUCUUCCUCUUCUUCUUUCAUCAUCUUCAUCUUCUUUUUUGUUUUCUUCAAAAAUCCAAGUUAUGGACUUGUUUCUUCAGCUUUUUCUUAUCUAAACUUAUGUCUCACUCAGAUAUAUUGGUUUGAAUUUUCUUUUGCAGAUCUAAAUAUAUUAGAUCUGGAUCUUUUAUGCUUGGAUUUGUCAUUUUUGUUGUUGAAAGACUUGUUCAAUUUUUUAUUUUCUGUUUCUGCUAUUUUCUG